This 460-nucleotide ribosomal RNA is filed under the name uncultured bacterium. Its description in RNAcentral is "partial 16S ribosomal RNA". It matches the Rfam family "Bacterial small subunit ribosomal RNA", at positions 338 to 795 of the family's 1533-position model. The record is from RNAcentral.
CCUACGGGUGACAGCAGUGAGGAAUAUUGGUCAAUGGGCGGAAGCCUGAACCAGCCAAGUCGCGUGAGGGAAUAAGGCCCUACGGGUCGUAAACCUCUUUUGCCGGGGAGCAAGGGCCGGGACGAGUCCCGGUCCGGAGAGUACCCGGAGAAAAAGCAUCGGCUAACUCCGUGUCAGCAGCCGCGGUAAUACGGAGGAUGCGAGCGUUAUCCGGAUUUAUUGGGUUUAAAGGGUGCGUAGGCGGGCUUUUAAGUCAGCGGUAAAAAUUCGGGGCUCAACCCCGUCCGGCCGUUGAAACUGGGGGCCUUGAGUGGGCGAGAAGAAGGCGGAAUGCGUGGUGUAGCGGUGAAAUGCAUAGAUAUCACGCAGAACCCCGAUUGCGAAGGCAGCCUUCCGGCGCCCGACUGACAUUGAUGCUCGAAAGUGUGGGUAUCAAACAGGAUUAGAUACCCGGGUAGUC